AUUAAACGCUGGCGGCAUGCCUUACACAUGCAAGUCGAACGGCAGCACGGGGGCAACCCUGGUGGCGAGUGGCGAACGGGUGAGUAAAGCAUCGGAACGUGCCCUGGAGUGGGGGGAUAACGUAGCGAAAGUUACGCUAAUACCGCAUAUUCUGUGAGCAGGAAAGCAGGGGAUCGCAAGACCUUGCGCUCUGGGAGCGGCCGAUGUCGGAUUAGCUAGUUGGUGGGGUAAAGGCCUACCAAGGCGACGAUCCGUAGCGGGUCUGAGAGGAUGAUCCGCCACACUGGGACUGAGACACGGCCCAGACUCCUACGGGAGGCAGCAGUGGGGAAUUUUGGACAAUGGGCGAAAGCCUGAUCCAGCCAUGCCGCGUGAGUGAAGAAGGCCUCGG
RNAcentral lists this ribosomal RNA (391 nucleotides) under uncultured bacterium. RNAcentral describes it as "bacterial SSU rRNA". It matches the Rfam family "Bacterial small subunit ribosomal RNA", at positions 29 to 420 of the family's 1533-position model. The record is from RNAcentral.